GUUUGGAAGGGCGGUGAAGUUGUGGUUUCUCCUGAACAUAAAUGUUUGGAAUCUCAUGUUUAGCUUGCGAAACCCACAAUAAAACAAAGGUUUGGCCGCGGAUAAUGAGAGGCAUCUUUUUCUUGCGUUUCACAUGAAAAAGCUGGGAGAAGAGCAGUAAAAACAUGGCUGCUUAUCAUCGUUGAAAAUGGUGGACAAACUAGCCUCCCCAGAGAGCAUAUGAAUUAGGCAUUGGGCAACAGAUGCUGCCAUUUUCUUGCCGUCGUUCAUACUCAAAGCUGCAAAACUUAGUAAGAAAAUCUUUGUUUUUGCAUUUUAUUUUAGCAUUCAUAUAAAUAUCCAUCAAAUAGGCUCUAAAUGUUUCAUAAAACUCUCAAUUUAAUCCUUUUA
Populus nigra (black poplar) is the source of this 390-nucleotide long non-coding RNA. RefSeq lists it as uncharacterized. The transcript is spliced from 2 exons. The record is from RefSeq and is a predicted model, not a curated record. Lineage: Eukaryota; Viridiplantae; Streptophyta; Magnoliopsida; Malpighiales; Salicaceae.